UAUUUCUGGUAGUAUAAAACAAAAUUUGUGCUGUAUUGCAAAACUUCGCUACACACAGUGAGACACGCAAAAACAAAAAUAGGUCAAAAGUUAUUCAUAUCAUUGUACCGUUGCAUUUUGAACAAUCUAAAAAGAAACAACAACACAACUAUACAAUAUUAAACAAAGACCAACCCGUGCUCUAGGUGGAUUUUGUACUAUGUGCGUGCAAUUUAUCUG
Molecule: long non-coding RNA, 219 nt
Filed under: Mytilus galloprovincialis (Mediterranean mussel)
Lineage: Eukaryota; Metazoa; Mollusca; Bivalvia; Mytilida; Mytilidae
Source: RNAcentral